This 493-nucleotide ribosomal RNA is filed under the name uncultured bacterium. Its description in RNAcentral is "partial 16S ribosomal RNA". It matches the Rfam family "Bacterial small subunit ribosomal RNA", at positions 28 to 507 of the family's 1533-position model. The record is from RNAcentral.
GACGAACGCUGGCGGCGUGCUUAACACAUGCAAGUCGAACGGUGAAGGGACCGGUUUUUGCUGGUUCUGGAUGAGUGGCGAGCGGGUGAGUAACACGUGAGUAACCUGCCCCCUUCUUCUGGAUAACCGCAUGAACGUGUGGCAAAUACGGGAAAUUCUGCGCCUGCUGCAUGGUGUGGGUGGGCAAGGUAUUGUUGCGGUGGGGGGAGGGCUCGCGGCCUAUCGGCUUGUUGGUGGGGUGAUGGCCUACCAAGGCGGUGCCGGGUCGCCGGCCUGGGAGGGUGGACGGCCCCACUGGGGAUGCGCCACCGCCCAGACUGCGACGGGAGGCAGCAGGGGAGAAUAGUGCACAGUGGGCGCAAGCCUGGUGCAGCGACGCCGCGUGAGGGAUGGAGGCCUUCGCGUUGUAAACCUCUUUCGCCAGUGAAGCAGGCCUGUCCCUUUUGUGGGUGGGUUGACGGUAGCUGGAUAAGAAGCGCCGGCUAACUACGUG